AUUGAACGCUGGCGGCAGGCCUAACACAUGCAAGUCGAGCGGAUGAAGGGAGCUUGCUCCUGGAUUCAGCGGCGGACGGGUGAGUAAUGCCUAGGAAUCUGCCUGGUAGUGGGGGAUAACGUCCGGAAACGGGCGCUAAUACCGCAUACGUCCUGAUGGAGAAAGUGGGGGAUCUUCGGACCUCACGCUAUCAGAUGAGCCUAGGUCGGAUUAGCUAGUUGGUGGGGUAAAGGCCUACCAAGGCGACGAUCCGUAACUGGUCUGAGAGGAUGAUCAGUCACACUGGAACUGAGACACGGUCCAGACUCCUACGGGAGGCAGCAGUGGGGAAUAUUGGACAAUGGGCGAAAGCCUGAUCCAGCCAUGCCGCGUGUGUGAAGAAGGUCUUCGGAUUGUAAAGCACUUUAAGUUGGGAGGAAGGGCAGUAAGUUAAAACCUUGCUGUUUUGACGUUACCAACAGAAUAAGCACCGGCUAACUUCGUG
Molecule: ribosomal RNA, 484 nt
Filed under: uncultured bacterium
Lineage: Bacteria
Description: partial 16S ribosomal RNA
Rfam family: Bacterial small subunit ribosomal RNA
Source: RNAcentral